GACGAACGCUGGCGGCGUGCCUAACACAUGCAAGUCGAACGGAGUUAUUUAUUUCGGUAGAUAACUUAGUGGCGAACGGGUGAGUAACGCGUGAGCAACCUGCCCUAAAGAGGGGGAUAACAACGAGAAAUCGUUGCUAAUACCGCAUAAGACCACAUUGCCGCAUGGCAGAGGGGUCAAAGGAGCAAUCCGCUUUAGGAGGGGCUCGCGUCCCAUUAGAUAGUUGGAGGGGUAACGGCCCACCAAGUCUGCGAUGGGUAGCCGAGCUGAGAGGCUGAUCGGCCACACUGGAACUGAGACACGGUCCAGACUCCUACGGGAGGCAGCAGUGGGGAAUAUUGGGCAAUGGGCGCAAGCCUGACCCAGCAACGCCGCGUGAGGGAAGAAGGUUUUCGGAUUGUAAACCUCUGUCCUUGGUGACGAAAAAAAUGACGGUAGCCAAGGAGGAAGCCCCGGCUAACUACGUG
Molecule: ribosomal RNA, 467 nt
Filed under: uncultured organism
Description: bacterial SSU rRNA
Rfam family: Bacterial small subunit ribosomal RNA
Source: RNAcentral